CGAUGGGCCGACGUCGCAUGCUCCCGGCCGCCAUGGUUAGAGUUUGAUCCUGGCUCAGAUUGAACGCUGGCGGCAUGCCUUACACAUGCAAGUCGAACGGCAGCACGGGAGCAAUCCUGGUGGCGAGUGGCGAACGGGUGAGUAAUAUAUCGGAACGUGCCCAGUAGUGGGGGAUAGCCCGGCGAAAGCCGGAUUAAUACCGCAUACGACCUGUGGGUGAAAGCGGGGGAUCGCAAGACCUCGCGCUAUUGGAGCGGCCGAUAUCAGAUUAGCUUGUUGGUGGGGUAAAAGCCCACCAAGGCGACGAUCUGUAGCUGGUCUGAGAGGACGACCAGCCACACUGGGACUGAGACACGGCCCAGACUCCUACGGGAGGCAGCAGUGGGGAAUUUUGGACAAUGGGCGCAAGCCUGAUCCAGCCAUGCCGCGUGUGGGAAGAAGGCCUUCGGGUUGUAAACCGCUUUUGUCAGGGAAGAAACGGUUUGUCCUAAUACGGCGGACUAAUGACGGUACCUGAAGAAUAAGCACCGGCUAACUACGUGCCAGCAGCCGCGGUAAUACGUAGGGUGCAAGCGUUAAUCGGAAUUACUGGGCGUAAAGCGUGCGCAGGCGGCUUUGCAAGACAGAUGUGAAAUCCCCGGGCUCAACCUGGGAACUGCAUUUGUGACUGCAUGGCUAGAGUACGGUAGAGGGGGGAUGGAAUUCCGCGUGUAGCAGUGAAAUGCGUAGAUAUGCGGAGGAACACCGAUGGCGGAAGGCAAUCCCC
Molecule: ribosomal RNA, 766 nt
Filed under: uncultured Methylibium sp.
Lineage: Bacteria; Pseudomonadati; Pseudomonadota; Betaproteobacteria; Burkholderiales; Sphaerotilaceae
Description: partial 16S ribosomal RNA
Rfam family: Bacterial small subunit ribosomal RNA
Source: RNAcentral